UGAAACGUCCAAGGAUGGGCAACUUUAUAG
Molecule: non-coding RNA, 30 nt
Filed under: Rattus norvegicus (Norway rat)
Lineage: Eukaryota; Metazoa; Chordata; Mammalia; Rodentia; Muridae
Source: RNAcentral